CCUACGGGUGGCUGCAGUGGGGAAUUUUGCGCAAUGCUCGUAAGAGUGACGCAGCGACGCCGCGUGAAUGACGAAGGCCUUCGGGUCGUAAAGUUCUUUCGACAGGGAAGAAAAUGCCUAUAAGUAACUGUGUAUGUAUUGACGGUACCUGUAUAAGCAGCCCCGGCUAACUCCGUGCCAGCAGCCGCGGUAAUACGGAGGAUGCGAGCGUUAUCCGGAUUUAUUGGGUUUAAAGGGUGCGUAGGCGGGUUAUCAAGUCAGCGGUAAAAUCGUGGAGCUCAACUCCAUCCAGCCGUUGAAACUGAUGAUCUUGAGUGGGCGAGAAGUAUGCGGAAUGCGUGGUGUAGCGGUGAAAUGCAUAGAUAUCACGCAGAACUCCGAUUGCGAAGGCAGCAUACCGGCGCCCGACUGACGCUGAAGCACGAAAGCGUGGGUAUCGAACAGGAUUAGAUACCCCUGUAGUC
This 464-nucleotide ribosomal RNA is filed under the name uncultured bacterium. RNAcentral describes it as "partial 16S ribosomal RNA". It matches the Rfam family "Bacterial small subunit ribosomal RNA", at positions 338 to 795 of the family's 1533-position model. The record is from RNAcentral.